RNAcentral lists this ribosomal RNA (465 nucleotides) under Vreelandella stevensii. RNAcentral describes it as "partial 16S ribosomal RNA". It matches the Rfam family "Bacterial small subunit ribosomal RNA", at positions 338 to 795 of the family's 1533-position model. The record is from RNAcentral. Lineage: Bacteria; Pseudomonadati; Pseudomonadota; Gammaproteobacteria; Oceanospirillales; Halomonadaceae.
CCUACGGGUGGCUGCAGUGGGGAAUAUUGGACAAUGGGGGGAACCCUGAUCCAGCCAUGCCGCGUGUGUGAAGAAGGCCCUCGGGUUGUAAAGCACUUUCAGUGAGGAAGAACGCCUGGUGGUUAAUACCCAUCAGGAAAGACAUCACUCACAGAAGAAGCACCGGCUAACUCCGUGCCAGCAGCCGCGGUAAUACGGAGGGUGCGAGCGUUAAUCGGAAUUACUGGGCGUAAAGCGCGCGUAGGUGGCUUGAUAAGCCGGUUGUGAAAGCCCCGGGCUCAACCUGGGAACGGCAUCCGGAACUGUCAAGCUAGAGUGCAGGAGAGGACGGUAGAAUUCCCGGUGUAGCGGUGAAAUGCGUAGAGAUCGGGAGGAAUACCAGUGGCGAAGGCGGCCUUCUGGACUGACACUGACACUGAGGUGCGAAAGCGUGGGUAGCAAACAGGAUUAGAUACCCUUGUAGUC